AAUGCCCGGGCACAAGCGGCGGCAGCCCCGCCCUGUGAUCGGGAAAACAAAGAGAUGAGUCUCCCGCGCGCUCCGGGAUCGGGGUCCGCCCGCCGCGACAACAAAGAGCUUAAUCAGGGCGGCGGCGACCGCAGCCCGUGCUGGGACACGGAGCGAACCGCGGCACCCCGGCACAAGCCGGGCCGUACCGAGGUCUCUGUGUCCGCGCCGGAGAAACAUGGGGCGCUCCCGACUGCUGACAAUCAUGCUCCAAUGGGCCUUCUUCAACUGUUGUACCUAAAAACAAGGCUGGAUUCAAAAGGUUGUUUUCUCUUCUGUAGCUGUCAGUGUAUCAUCAACAUACUGUAACAGCAGGUAUUGUUCUCUCGGUACUUGCCCGUUCUCAGUCCAAAUCUCCAGCUCCUUCGCCAGUUGGCUUCCAAAUAGGGUUGGACUGUUCUUGUAUCCUUGUGGAAGUCAUGUCCAGGUGAGAUGAGUUUUCCUUCUGUUUUCUGGAUUUUCCCACUCAAAGGCAAACAGUUUCCUACUUUCUUUGUUGAGGGGUAUGCAGAAAAAGGCAUCUUUUAAAUCAGUUACAGUAAACCAUUUAUAUUUCUCUUUUACGGAUGUCAACAACGUGUAGGGAUUGGCAACCACUGGAUAAAUAUCUUUAGUUAUUUAAUUUAUUGCUCUCAAAUCCUGUACUAGUCUGUACUCACCAUUUGGUUUCUUCACUGGAAAUAUUGGUGUAUUAUAUUCUCAUUCACAUUCUUCUAGAAUUUGAUAUUUCAAAAAUUUAUCAAUAACCUUUACUAUUCCUUGCCGUGCUUCUGGCUUUAUGGGAUACUGUUUGACCUGUUGUCAUGGGGUAGCUUUACCUUUAAGAUAGCUUUGAGAGAAGGAAGUUGAAGCUGCUGGUGGCUGAUGGGAGUUUUUCCUCCUGACCAAUUAUCAGUCAUUUCUAAGAAUUGACAGCAGUCUUGACCAUUAAAAAGUUAAGUCAACUUGUAAACACCCCCUUAAGAAGUACAGUCAGAGUUCUCUUGCUCUCUUUUGUUUCCGGCUUUUGAGAAGGUAACCUACCUCUGUGGUAGCCUCCUCCAUUCCCCCCCCCCCUCUCCCUUGGCCGGAGAAGGCCGCAGAGGACGAGAGGGAAGGGGGGGGAGGAAAGGAAAGCAGAGCUGGCAGCCUGGUUUGGUUUUCAGUUUCUGCUGCUGGACUGAAACCUGACACCAUGAACGCUUGCAGCUUUCUAAAGCUUUUAAUUCUUUUACUACCUGGAUAAAAUGUACAGAUUACUCCUUUUUCUCAGAAAGACAGAGAAUGAGAGAGACAAUCAACAUGAAAAAGACAUCCUAAAACUACCAAAAACAGUGAGGAAAAGAGUUAAGUUUAAAUGGGAAAGAGAGAAUAAGAAGGUGCUUUACAGCUGAAAUAUCUUUCUGUUAAAGCUAUGGAGAUGGACAAUAGUAGUUUAAAAAGACUCCUUUAAUUCAUGACUAGAGUAUUGGGAGGAAUAGAGUGUUCAAAGUGUGGACUUUUGAGAAAAGAGAGAGUAAUUGUGAUACUGUGAGUUGCUGGAAAUGGGUAGAGUGAAGAUUUUGAAGCCUUGGGGGGCAAAGACAAAACUGUUUUCCAGGAAGGCUCACAGAGACAGAUGAAGAAGACUUCUGCCUUUGAAUAACUUAUCCUUAAAAUGGCAUCCCUAGACUCAUGGCCCAUACACACCUCAGAGUGAUGUGAAAUGGGAGGAGUGAACUCUGAUGACAGAUUUCAGGGCAGCUGACAUCAGGGCAAUAGAAAACUAUAGCAGAAAUAGUUUUCUUGUGAGAAACUCCAUAAAUUGACAGAAGGAGACUUCUGUUUCUCUACAAAGACUGAUGAAAAGACUCUAGCAAGAACUGAGACUGUUUUUGACCACCAAAGUUCUAAAGUUUUUUGUCUCUAUGUUAUCAUGUGUACAAAGAAAUGGUCAAGUAGUGAGAGAUAAAAGGGUUUUCUGGAAGUUUAUUCUAGUGUUCUUAUUCUUGUAGUUUUUUAAUAAACUGUCUUUAUUCCUUUUAAGUUUUAAGCCUGUUUUGCUCUUGUUCUAAUCCAUAUCUCACAGCAAGAAAUAAGUAAUUUUUUUUAGUUACUGGUUUAAAACCAUGACACCUGUACAGCCUUUGCCCCUUCUUUUAAUUCCACAUGUACUGGUUGUGCCAAUUUAGAUUUUCCUCGUAUAUCUGUUUCCCAUACAGAUAGAAUUACUGCAUCCUCUACUUCCUUAGGGAUAGUAGGGACUGGUUUUUCUUUUAUCAUUAAAAUUUGUCCUGUCUUUGAUUCGGGUAUUUUCAUUAAAAGUUCCCCGUUCGCAAAAGUUAUUACUGCAUCAAGUUUUGCCAAUAAAUCUCAUCCUAAAAGUAGAAUUGGACACUCAGGCACAUAGAAGAAUUCAUGUGUUAAAACUUUGUUUCCAAAACACAAAUCUAGGGGUUGCAGGAAUGGUUGAUUUUGCUCCUUCCCUGCAGCUCCAACUAUUGUUGUUCUGUCCCAAAUUUGCCCUUUUAAAUAAUUUAAUACAGAAUAUGUAGCCCCCGUAUCCACCAGGAUUUUUACUUCUUUAUUUCUCAAUUUUAUAGUUACUAAAGGUUCCUGUACUGAUUUUUGUUCCACUUCUAGUCAGCUGCUGUACUCUCCCAACACCAUUAAUUUUGAAACAUCCUGAUCCUGACUGAACUGACUGCCCUGGUUAAACCG
This is a long non-coding RNA of Poecile atricapillus (Black-capped chickadee), 2718 nucleotides long. RefSeq lists it as uncharacterized. The transcript has 3 exons. NCBI's taxonomy places the organism in Eukaryota, Metazoa, Chordata, Aves, Passeriformes, Paridae. The record is from RefSeq and is a predicted model, not a curated record.